CUUGAGCCAACUCCAGAGCCUCCUCCAAGAGUUCUUUUCACAGUGGCCUUGUUUGUCCUGAGCUCAGCUCUUAGUCCCUGUGAAGGUAUAAACCUUUAUAAGGUGGGGCACUUUCAAAAGACAGAAGGGAAUAAAGAGGAGAAAAAGGACAGAAUCAGAGAUCCUUGGAGGGGAAGGAGAUCCUUCAGCUGUCCCUGCAGAACCUGAGGACAAAUUCCAGAGCCAAGUCUCACAGACCUCUCCUGCCAAUGAGGUUGAAAACAAUGAUCCACAGAAGGAAUUCCAGGCAGAAGAGGAACAAGGGUCCGCUGCUGCUGCUGGGAAUGAAGUGAACAAUCUCCAACAGGAUACACUGACAGGAAGGGUUCAAGACCAAUAUUCCCCUGCUGAUGAAAACCCACAAGGACCAGUCCAGCAAGGAGGCCCCCAGCAUAAUUCUCCUCACGCUGACAUUCACUAUAGACCUCUUUGCUUUUGAGGACAACAAAACUAUUUCUUCCACUCCUGGUUAUCUAAAACAAGGACUACCCAGCAAUAGAAGGCAGUAAGCGGCAACUUUCCCACUUACCCUCAUUUCUAAGAGGCAGUCGGAAGUCCUUGUUUAGGUGAUGCUUUUGAAACUAAUUAUCCCAACAAUCCAGAUGUCAAUGACAAGUAUGUGACAAAUUACUAAACACAAAGCCCUAUCCUUCCAUAUUUCUCAAAUCAUGGUGUGAAAAUUGUUUAAAUGAAGUGACAUGGUUCAAGGCA
Long non-coding RNA from Mesocricetus auratus (golden hamster), 750 nucleotides. RefSeq lists it as uncharacterized. The transcript is spliced from 3 exons. Lineage: Eukaryota; Metazoa; Chordata; Mammalia; Rodentia; Cricetidae. The record is from RefSeq and is a predicted model, not a curated record.